Molecule: non-coding RNA, 88 nt
Organism: Deltaproteobacteria bacterium
Lineage: Bacteria; Pseudomonadati; Myxococcota; Myxococcia
Source: Rfam
GCCACCGUGGCGGAAUUGGUAGACGCAAGGGACUUAAAAUCCCUCGGCUAUUUAUUUGGCCGUGCCAGUUCAAUUCUGGCCGGUGGCA